GACGAACGCUGGCGGCGUGCUUAACACAUGCAAGUCGAACGGAAAGGCCCUGCGUUUGUGGGGUGCUCGGGUGGCGAUCGCGUGCGUAACACGUGAGUAUCCUGCCCUUGACUUUGGGAUAACUUCACGUAGCUGGGGCUACUACCGGAUAGGAGCUCCUCCUCCAUGGUGGGGGGUGGAAAUUUUCGGCGUUCGGGGAUGGACUCGCGGCUUAUCAGCUUGUUGGUUGGGUAGUUGCUUACCCAGCCUGUGACGGGUAGCCCGCCUGAGAGGGUGACCGGCGACAUGGGGACUGAGAGACGGCCCAGACUCCUACGGGAGGCAGCAGGGGGGAAUAUUGCACAAUGGGAGGAAGCCUGAUGCAGCAGCGCCGCGGGCGGGAUGACGGCCUGCGGGUAGUAAACCGCUGUCGCCUGAGACGAAGCGGGAGUGACGGUAAUGGGUAAAGAAGCACCGGCUAACUACGUG
RNAcentral lists this ribosomal RNA (468 nucleotides) under uncultured bacterium. Its description in RNAcentral is "partial 16S ribosomal RNA". It matches the Rfam family "Bacterial small subunit ribosomal RNA", at positions 28 to 507 of the family's 1533-position model. The record is from RNAcentral.